UACGAAGGGGGCUAGCGUUGUUCGGAUUUACUGGGCGUAAAGCGCACGUAGGCGGAUCGUUAAGUCGGGGGUGAAAUCCUGGAGCUCAACUCCAGAACUGCCUUUGAUACUGAGAAGCUUGAGUCCGGGAGAGGUGAGUGGAACUGCGAGUGUAGAGGUGAAAUUCGUAGAUAUUCGCAAGAACACCAGUGGCGAAGGCGGCUCACUGGCCCGGUACUGACGCUGAGGUGCGAAAGCGUGGGGAGCAAACAGG
RNAcentral lists this ribosomal RNA (253 nucleotides) under uncultured bacterium. RNAcentral describes it as "partial 16S ribosomal RNA". It matches the Rfam family "Bacterial small subunit ribosomal RNA", at positions 524 to 776 of the family's 1533-position model. The record is from RNAcentral.